GACGAACGCUGGCGGCGUGCUUAACACAUGCAAGUCGAACGGUGAAGCGCCUUCCUUUUUGGUGGGUGUGGAUGAGUGGCGAACGGGUGAGUAACACGUGAGUAACCUGCCCCCUUCUUCUGGAUAACCGCAUGAAAGUGUGGCUAAUACGGGAUAUUCUGGGUCUGUCGCAUGAUGGGUCUGGGAAAGAUAUUGUUUCGGUGGGGGAUGGGCUCGCGGCCUAUCAGCUUGUUGGGGGGGUGAUGGCCUACCAAGGCGGUGACGGGUAGCCGGCCUGGGAGGGUGGACGGUCACACUGGGACUGAGACACGGCCCAGACUCCUACGGGAGGCAGCAGUGGGGAAUAUUGCACAAUGGGCGCAAGCCUGAUGCAGCGACGCCGCGUGAGGGAUGGAGGCCUUCGGGUUGUGAACCUCUUUCGCCAGUGAAGCAGGCCUGCCUCGUUUGUGGGUGGGUUGACGGUAGCUGGAGAAGAAGCGCCGGCUAACUACGUG
This 494-nucleotide ribosomal RNA is filed under the name uncultured bacterium. RNAcentral describes it as "partial 16S ribosomal RNA". It matches the Rfam family "Bacterial small subunit ribosomal RNA", at positions 28 to 507 of the family's 1533-position model. The record is from RNAcentral.